CACGUGAGUAACCUGCCCCAGACUCUGGAAUAACCCCGGGAAACCGGAGCUAAUACCGGAUACGAGACGGAGCCGCAUGGCUACCGUUUGGAAAGUUUUUCGGUCUGGGAUGGACUCGCGGCCUAUCAGUUAGUUGGUGAGGUAACGGCUCACCAAGACGACGACGGGUAGCCGGCCUGAGAGGGCGACCGGCCACACUGGGACUGAGACACGGCCCAGACUCCUACGGGAGGCAGCAGUGGGGAAUAUUGCACAAUGGGCGAAAGCCUGAUGCAGCGACGCCGCGUGAGGGAUGAAGGC
RNAcentral lists this ribosomal RNA (300 nucleotides) under uncultured Intrasporangiaceae bacterium. RNAcentral's name for it is "bacterial SSU rRNA". It matches the Rfam family "Bacterial small subunit ribosomal RNA", at positions 114 to 415 of the family's 1533-position model. Lineage: Bacteria; Bacillati; Actinomycetota; Actinomycetes; Micrococcales; Intrasporangiaceae. The record is from RNAcentral.